This 24-nucleotide non-coding RNA is filed under the name Arabidopsis thaliana (thale cress). The record is from RNAcentral. Lineage: Eukaryota; Viridiplantae; Streptophyta; Magnoliopsida; Brassicales; Brassicaceae.
ACGUGACUAUUGGUGCACAAUGCC